Molecule: ribosomal RNA, 732 nt
Filed under: Neogyromitra brunnea
Lineage: Eukaryota; Fungi; Ascomycota; Pezizomycetes; Pezizales; Discinaceae
Description: Gyromitra brunnea partial large subunit ribosomal RNA
Rfam family: Eukaryotic large subunit ribosomal RNA
Source: RNAcentral
CAGGGAUUGCCUCAGUAACGGCGAGUGAAGCGGCAACAGCUCAAAUUUUAAAGCUGGCGUCCUCGACGCCCGCGUUGUAAUUUGGAGAGGCAUCUUCGGUUUGGGCGCCAGCCUAUGUUCCUUGGAACAGGACGUCACAGAGGGUGAGAAUCCCGUGCUUGGCUGGCUGUCCCUCUCCAUGUGAAGUGUCUUCGACGAGUCGAGUUGUUUGGGAAUGCAGCUCAAAAUGGGUGGUAAAUUUCAUCUAAAGCUAAAUAUUGGCGGGAGACCGAUAGCGCACAAGUAGAGUGAUCGAAAGAUGAAAAGCACUUUGAAAAUAGAGUUAAAAAGUACGUGAAAUUGUUGAAAGGGAAGCGCUUGAGACCAGACUCGGCCGACGGCGAUCAGCGGCCCUUCUGGGCUGUGCACUCGUCAUCGGUUCGGGCCAGCAUCGGUCGAGACGGCGGGAUAAAGGCCCGAGGAAUGUGGCUCCUCUCGGGGAGUGUUAUAGCCUCGGGUGCAAUGCCGCCAGCCUCGACCGAGGACCGCGCUCUUUUGCUAGGAUGCUGGCGUAAUGGUCUUCAGCGACCCGUCUUGAAACACGGACCAAGGAGUCUAACAUCUAUGCGAGUGUUUGGGUGUCAAACCCUUGCGCGUAAUGAAAGUGAACGGAGGUGGGAACCCCUCCUCUGGGGGGGCGCACCAUCGACCGAUCCUGAUGUCUUCGGAUGGAUUUGAGUAGGAGCAUAGCUG